Molecule: transfer RNA, 64 nt
Filed under: Biomphalaria glabrata
Lineage: Eukaryota; Metazoa; Mollusca; Gastropoda; Planorbidae
Description: tRNA-Arg
Source: RNAcentral
UUUACUAAAGCGAUAUAUAUUGCAUUAAGUUUCGACCUUAAAAUAGAUAAUUUUUCUAGUAAAA